UUAAGCGACUAAGCGUACACGGUGGAUGCCCUGGCAGUCAGAGGCGAUGAAGGACGUGCUAAUCUGCGAUAAGCGUCGGUAAGGUGAUAUGAACCGUUAUAGCCGGCGAUUUCCGAAUGGGGAAACCCAGUGUGUUUCGACACACUAUCGUUAAGUGAAUACAUAGCUUAACGAAGCGAACCGGGGGAACUGAAACAUCUAAGUACCCCGAGGAAAAGAAAUCAACCGAGAUUCCCCCAGUAGCGGCGAGCGAACGGGGAGCAGCCCAGAGUCUGAAUCAGCAUGUGUGGUAGUGGAACGGUCUGGAAAGUCCGACGGUACAGGGUGAUAGUCCCGUACACAAAAUCGCAUGUGUUGUGAACUCGAAGAGUAGGGCGGGACACGUGGUAUCCUGUCUGAAUAUGGGGGGACCAUCCUCCAAGGCUAAAUACUCCUGACUGACCGAUAGUGAACCAGUACCGUGAGGGAAAGGCGAAAAGAACCCCGGCGAGGGGAGUGAAAAAGAACCUGAAACCGUGUACGUACAAGCAGUGGGAGCCCUGAUUUAUCAGGGUGACUGCGUACCUUUUGUAUAAUGGGUCAGCGACUUAUAUUCUGUAGCAAGGUUAACCGUAUAGGGGAGCCGAAGGGAAACCGAGUCUUAACUGGGCGUUAAGUUGCAGGGUAUAGACCCGAAACCCGGUGAUCUAGCCAUGGGCAGGUUGAAGGUUGGGUAACACUAACUGGAGGACCGAACCGACUAAUGUUGAAAAAUUAGCGGAUGACUUGUGGCUGGGGGUGAAAGGCCAAUCAAACCGGGAGAUAGCUGGUUCUCCCCGAAAGCUAUUUAGGUAGCGCCUCGUGAACUCAUCUUCGGGGGUAGAGCACUGUUUCGGCUAGGGGGUCAUCCCGACUUACCAACCCGAUGCAAACUACGAAUACCGAAGAAUGUUAUCACGGGAGACACACGGCGGGUGCUAACGUCCGUCGUGAAGAGGGAAACAACCCAGACCGCCAGCUAAGGUCCCAAAGUCACAGUUAAGUGGGAAACGAUGUGGGAAGGCACAGACAGCCAGGAUGUUGGCUUAGAAGCAGCCAUCAUUUAAAGAAAGCGUAAUAGCUCACUGGUCGAGUCGGCCUGCGCGGAAGAUGUAACGGGGCUAAACUGUGCACCGAAGCUGCGGCAGCGACACUAUGUGUUGUUGGGUAGGGGAGCGUUCUGUAAGCCGUUGAAGGUGUCCUGUGAGGGGUGCUGGAGGUAUCAGAAGUGCGAAUGCUGACAUAAGUAACGAUAAUGCGGGUGAAAAACCCGCACGCCGGAAGACCAAGGGUUCCUGUCCAACGUUAAUCGGGGCAGGGUGAGUCGACCCCUAAGGCGAGGCCGAAAGGCGUAGUCGAUGGGAAACAGGUUAAUAUUCCUGUACUUGGUGUUACUGCGAAGGGGGGACGGAGAAGGCUAUGUUAGCCGGGCGACGGUUGUCCCGGUUUAAGCAUGUAGGCGGAGAGUUUAGGUAAAUCCGGACUCUUAUUAAACGCUGAGGUGUGAUGACGAGGCACUACGGUGCUGAAGUAACAAAUGCCCUGCUUCCAGGAAAAGCCUCUAAGCAUCAGGUAACACGAAAUCGUACCCCAAACCGACACAGGUGGUCAGGUAGAGAAUACCAAGGCGCUUGAGAGAACUCGGGUGAAGGAACUAGGCAAAAUGGUGCCGUAACUUCGGGAGAAGGCACGCUGAUGGUAGGUGAAGCGACUUGCUCGUGGAGCUGAAAUCAGUCGAAGAUACCAGCUGGCUGCAACUGUUUAUUAAAAACACAGCACUGUGCAAACACGAAAGUGGACGUAUACGGUGUGACGCCUGCCCGGUGCCGGAAGGUUAAUUGAUGGGGUUAUCCGUAAGGAGAAGCUCUUGAUCGAAGCCCCGGUAAACGGCGGCCGUAACUAUAACGGUCCUAAGGUAGCGAAAUUCCUUGUC
RNAcentral lists this ribosomal RNA (1951 nucleotides) under human gut metagenome. RNAcentral's name for it is "bacterial LSU rRNA". It matches the Rfam family "Bacterial large subunit ribosomal RNA", at positions 1 to 1973 of the family's 2925-position model. The record is from RNAcentral.